This 61-nucleotide transfer RNA is filed under the name Metacrangonyx sp. 4 MDMBR-2012. Its description in RNAcentral is "transfer RNA Aspartic acid". Lineage: Eukaryota; Metazoa; Arthropoda; Malacostraca; Amphipoda; Metacrangonyctidae. The record is from RNAcentral.
GAAAAAUUAGUUAAUAAUAUAAUAUUAAUUUGUCAAAUUAAAGUAACUUAGGUAUUUUUCA